AUGGCUUCCUACUCGGAUGCGAACUCGGCGACCAACGACGGCGGCGGUAGGGGUGGUUAUGGUGGCGGCGGCGGUGCAACUACAGAUCCCGAUCUGAAAAACUUCUUUGACCAAUUGGAUCUCAAUGAGGAAGAAUUCGAUGAUGUGGAGAUUGAUGAUGAUGACCCGGAAAUCAAAGAGAGCGUUCGUUGGUUAGCCCUUGCUAGGGUUCAUACCGACAAAACCUUCUCGCCGUCGGCCUUCUACAAGGAGAUGCGGGCGGCAUGGAAUCCUGCGCAGGGAGUCAGAUUUCGUUCGGUCGGACCGAACAGAUUUGUCGUCCAGGCCGCGUGCUUGGGAGACUGGGAGAGGAUCAUGAAGCAAGGGCCGUGGUUGUUCCGCAACAUGGCGGUACUGUUGUGUAAGUACGAUGGUUUCAGUCGUGCAGAAGAGGUGGUUUUUGAUCACAUGCCUAUAUGGCUCCAGAUUCACAAGUUACCAGACCCCUACUGCAAGGAUCACAUAGUUGAGAAACUGCUGAAGGGAGCUGGGGAGAUUUUGGAGAUGCAUUUGAAUGGCAAUACGAGGGGGACUAUGUGA
RNAcentral lists this ribosomal RNA (579 nucleotides) under Triticum aestivum (bread wheat). Its description in RNAcentral is "partial small subunit ribosomal RNA". Lineage: Eukaryota; Viridiplantae; Streptophyta; Magnoliopsida; Poales; Poaceae. The record is from RNAcentral.